Molecule: ribosomal RNA, 208 nt
Filed under: uncultured bacterium
Lineage: Bacteria
Description: partial 16S ribosomal RNA
Rfam family: Bacterial small subunit ribosomal RNA
Source: RNAcentral
CGCGUAGGCGGUUUAGUAAGUCAGAUGUGAAAGCCCCGGGCUCAACCUGGGAACUGCAUUUGAUACUGCUGGGCUAGAGUAUGGUAGAGGGAAGUGGAAUUCCAGGUGUAGCGGUGAAAUGCGUAGAUAUCUGGAGGAACAUCAGUGGCGAAGGCGACUUUCCUGGACCAAUACUGACGCUGAGGUGCGAAAGCGUGGGUAGCAAACA